This 924-nucleotide ribosomal RNA is filed under the name uncultured Bacteroidota bacterium. RNAcentral's name for it is "bacterial SSU rRNA". It matches the Rfam family "Bacterial small subunit ribosomal RNA", at positions 1 to 916 of the family's 1533-position model. Lineage: Bacteria; Pseudomonadati; Bacteroidota. The record is from RNAcentral.
GGAUCCACACUUUGAUUAUGGCUCAGGACGAACGCUAGCUACAGGCUUCACACAUGCAAGUCGAGGGGAAACGACAUCGAAAGCUUGCUUUUGAUGGGCGUCGACCGGCGCACGGGUGAGUAACGCGUAUCCAACCUGCCCACCACUUGGGGAUAACCUUGCGAAAGUAAGACUAAUACCCAAUGACGUCUCUAGAAGACAUCUGAAAGAGAUUAAAGAUUUAUCGGUGAUGGAUGGGGAUGCGUCUGAUUAGCUUGUUGGCGGGGUAACGGCCCACCAAGGCAACGAUCAGUAGGGGUUCUGAGAGGAAGGUCCCCCACAUUGGAACUGAGACACGGUCCAAACUCCUACGGGAGGCAGCAGUGAGGAAUAUUGGUCAAUGGACGAGAGUCUGAACCAGCCAAGUAGCGUGCAGGAUGACGGCCCUAUGGGUUGUAAACUGCUUUUAUAAGGGAAUAAAGUGAGUCUCGUGAGACUUUUUGCAUGUACCUUAUGAAUAAGGACCGGCUAAUUCCGUGCCAGCAGCCGCGGUAAUGCGGAAGGUCCGGGCGUUAUCCGGAUUUAUUGGGUUUAAAGGGAGCGUAGGCCGGAGAUUAAGCGUGUUGUGAAAUGUAGACGCUCAACGUCUGCACUGCAGCGCGAACUGGUUUCCUUGAGUACGCACAAAGUGGGCGGAAUUCGUGGUGUAGCGGUGAAAUGCUUAGAUAUCACGAAGAACUCCGAUUGCGAAGGCAGCUCACUGGAGCGCAACUGACGCUGAAGCUCGAAAGUGCGGGUAUCGAACAGGAUUAGAUACCCUGGUAGUCCGCACGGUAAACGAUGGAUGCCCGCUGUUGGUCUGAAUAGGUCAGCGGCCAAGCGAAAGCAUUAAGCAUCCCACCUGGGGAGUACGCCGGCAACGGUGCAACUCAAAGGAAUUGACGG